RNAcentral lists this ribosomal RNA (484 nucleotides) under uncultured bacterium. RNAcentral describes it as "partial 16S ribosomal RNA". It matches the Rfam family "Bacterial small subunit ribosomal RNA", at positions 30 to 507 of the family's 1533-position model. The record is from RNAcentral.
AUUGAACGCUGGCGGCAGGCCUAACACAUGCCAGUCGAGCGGAUGAAGGGAGCUUGCUCCUGGAUUCAGCGGCGGACGGGUGAGUAAUGCCUAGGAAUCUGCCUGGUAGUGGGGGAUAACGUCCGGAAACGGGCGCUAAUACCGCAUACGUCCUGAGGGAGAAAGUGGGGGAUCUUCGGACCUCACGCUAUCAGAUGAGCCUAGGUCGGAUUAGCUAGUUGGUGGGGUAAAGGCCUACCAAGGCGACGAUCCGUAACUGGUCUGAGAGGAUGAUCAGUCACACUGGAACUGAGACACGGUCCAGACUCCUACGGGAGGCAGCAGUGGGGGAUAUUGGACAAUGGGCGAAAGCCUGAUCCAGCCAUGCCGCGUGUGUGAAGAAGGUCUUCGGAUUGUAAAGCACUUUAAGUUGGGAGGAAGGGCAGUAAGUUAAUACCUUGCUGUUUUGACGUUACCAACAGAAUAAGCACCGGCUAACUUCGUG